Molecule: long non-coding RNA, 387 nt
Organism: Populus trichocarpa (black cottonwood)
Lineage: Eukaryota; Viridiplantae; Streptophyta; Magnoliopsida; Malpighiales; Salicaceae
Exons: 2
Source: RefSeq, a predicted model, not a curated record
CAACCUUCCCUGCCUAAACCCACACUGCCUCCACUUCCUAGCCUGCCAACAAUGCCUAGUCUCCCCAAGGUCACCUUGCCUCCACUUCCAAGCAUGCCCUCAAUGCCCACUAUCCCUAUCCCAACAACAAUCCCCUCUAUCCCGUUCCUCUCCCCACCACCUGGAAACUAGACCAUGCUACUGCUCAUUCUGAGUUUGAUUAGUAAGCUUUCUGUCACAAGUUCAUAUCUUUUGGUCCCUGUGAAGAAAGUGUGAGGAGUUGUGCUGUUUGCUUCUGGUGUUUUUCAUUCAUUUAUAUAUUUUCGCUUCCUAUUUCCCUGUAUUUCAUUGCCUUCUUGUAUUAUACAUAUAUACCUUUAUCAAUUAAAAGAAAUGUAGUUUCAAACA